CAGCAGCCGCGGUAAUACGUAGGGUGCGAGCGUUAAUCGGAAUUACUGGGCGUAAAGCGUGCGCAGGCGGUUCGUUAAGACAGAUGUGAAAUCCCCGGGCUUAACCUGGGAACUGCAUUUGUGACUGGCGAGCUAGAGUAUGGCAGAGGGGGAUAGAACUCCACGUGUAGCAGUGAAAUGCGUAGAGAUGUGGAGGAAUACCGAUGGCGAAGGCAGCCCCCUGGGCCAAUACUGACGCUCAUGCACGAAAGCGUGGGGAGCAAACAGGAUUAGAUACCCCGGUAGUCCCUGUCUCUUAUAC
RNAcentral lists this ribosomal RNA (301 nucleotides) under uncultured bacterium. RNAcentral's name for it is "partial 16S ribosomal RNA". It matches the Rfam family "Bacterial small subunit ribosomal RNA", at positions 509 to 807 of the family's 1533-position model. The record is from RNAcentral.